This 792-nucleotide long non-coding RNA is filed under the name Lactuca sativa (garden lettuce). Its description in RNAcentral is "long non-coding RNA (LSAT_LNC006202)". The stretch from base 228 to 300 matches the Rfam family "tRNA". The record is from RNAcentral. Lineage: Eukaryota; Viridiplantae; Streptophyta; Magnoliopsida; Asterales; Asteraceae.
AGGGAAAUGGUGGGCAAGAAACGAUCGACAUUUACCUAUACACUUGCAGGUAACGGUGAUUUCACCCUGAGCUCACGAGAGAAACUAUAUUUGUUAGUGUGACUGAUUGGGGGAAAAAUGAUUUUUUUUGGUUUUAAUUCAUCGAAACACUAUAGGGACGAUAAGUCGUCCCCAUAGGUGUCCCCAAAACUACGUCACAUGAUCUGAAGACUACNGGGAAUUCAUCAAGCGGGGUGGAGGAAUGGUCAACUCAUCAGGCUCAUGAUCUGAAGACUACAGGUUCGAAUCCUGUCCCCGCCUAAUCACUUGAGAUCUUUUUUUGGGUGGUCAAAGUUGUGUUGCCAGCUAGCGAAUGUUCAGAUGGUGAACAGUUCAGUAUCAAGUCUGUAACGAAGCUAGUACGGUUCAAUGGUUUUAGAAUAAUAGUGAACCGGGUAACUGGAUCGCCCCGGCGGGGUUGCUCUGACUCAGACGGCCCUGAGAAGCGCAGCACUCCGGUAACGGAUCCUUUUGCAGGUGAAGGGGCAGAGCGUUCCCCGGUCUCUCUUGGCAAUAGUUUACCUUUCUAAUGUUCUGCCUUGAUGAGUGGGAGAGGUAGCCGAAUUAGGAUAUCACUACUGGCACGGACUGCGCAGGAAGUUGUGAUCCUAAAAUGAACUAGAAAAAUGAACCACCCAUUACCAAACUAGACUCCUAGUUUAAUUAACGUCGGCUUAUCUGUCAGUCGUGUUGGGUCUGCCGCUCAGUUGAAAACUAUGAAACAAGUCUGUGGUAGUUCAAAACUGGAAUUGG